Molecule: long non-coding RNA, 1945 nt
Organism: Hermetia illucens (black soldier fly)
Lineage: Eukaryota; Metazoa; Arthropoda; Insecta; Diptera; Stratiomyidae
Exons: 2
Source: RefSeq, a predicted model, not a curated record
UCAUGCUGCUCCCAAGUCAGGGGUGAGGCAGCGUCUAAUAAGUUGCCUCUGCCCUGGACGAAACCGUUUGCCGUCUUUAUCAUGCACUUUUCUGACAUUGCGCUAAACCCAAAAAGAGGGAUCCUUGGACCACAAAAGUGGAAGCUAGCUGAUCUCCAUUGGAUUCGGCCUGGUAUCAAGUGGUUGAGAAAAAUUAGUUUUUGUUGACAGUAAUUGAAAAUCAUGAGGGUCGAAACCAAACCAUUCGCAUUGAUUAUCUCGGAUAUGUUCUUGGUUUCAGAGUAGGCAACGUCCGAAAAGAUAUAGUAAAAGAGUCUGAUUGCAAAUCGAAAAGCCUCUGAAAACGGCUAAAUAGCUCUGCUAAGGUAAUGUCGAGGUAUAUUGAAAUAUUUGGAAACUUUUAUUUAUUUUUAGAUCAGUAUAUCAGAAACGAAAGAAGAACGAAGAAAGGCAUUUUAGUGAGUUUUUAUUGAAGGGCGCGUAGUUCUCUACGAAUGGAAAAGUUGGUGGUAGGAAGAAAAAGUCGUUCACCAUUUCCCUUUCACUGAUCUAUGCAUGCCAUACUCAUACCAAUGAUUACCAGGCCUAUCUAAGUCCUUUGUCGUUUUGGAUAUCUGGAAGGACGCGCAAUUUUGCGUCAGUUAGUCAGCUCGAGAUUCCCAUAAGGAAUACAACUACAAAUUACCGGACUGGAAACGAAAAUCUUGCUAUUCGAAGUAUCACGCAGUUUAUUGUGGUACCAAAUCAAACCUUCUAUCAAUCAUCAAUUGAGCCUUUUACGACUUGACGCACGUUUACGUUCAUUGGAAAAAAGUACAAGAGAAAAGGAAAUGAUUUUCCCACAAAUUGAGUGAUUCAGUGAGCGAGGUAAGAAUCUAAGCUAAUUGGAUAAAAUGGAUAACAAUUUUUGACUAAUAAAAGAGAUGACUGGCAAAUCUAGCAGAAUAGAUAAGCGCUCUAUAUGUGACUGUCAAGGGCUUGAUAUGAAAUGCAAGUUAAAAGUAUAGGAACUGCGCAUCAAAAAAAAAUUCCUUGAUGAUAGAGAAACAUGCGAUAAAAUUAGCAACUUUGAAGCUUCACCUUUUAUUACUGCCAUAAUUAACAAUAAAAGCAAUAAAUUAUCUGGCUCAGAUGAGCUGAAUCAUGAGGUAUGAAGGACGAUUGUUGUGUAACCCAAAGGACCCUCUAGUUGUAAUACUAUGUAUCUAAUGAUUUAUUGAAAUUGGAUAGGAAUAUCCCUUAACUGUUCGGGGGUCGAAAUUAAAUGAAGGGAAAUAAACAAAUCGCACUUCAUGAAGUCAUCGAAAAUUUGGUUCUUUGAUUUACAUUUGCGAGUUGUGGGGGCGUUAUCAUUAUUUGUCGUUCAAAAGAUAAAUACUGCAGUAUCGAGAUAUAAAUUCAAGUUUAAAUUUGGGCCCAUUUACCUCUAAUUAAUGCAUGUACUUUGUUUUGUAAUUACCUACAUAAUUAACACUUGAAAAGCGACGGAAUUAUUAUGAAAUUUGGUUCCAACUUGGAGUGAUUUAAACAUAAAAUUGUAAACCAGAAGACAAUGAAUAAUUCAAUUUUAAAAUCACUCAAAUCACAAGAAAACAUUCCAAUCAAUACCCGAAAAAGUAGCACCUUGCCUCUUCAGAAAAAACACGAAUAAUACAAUAUUAUUGUUUUUUCAUCUAUCACAUAGCCAUAUAAAAUUGAAUUUCUUGUCACUUUUUUUUUCGAGUCAAAUAUUAUCCUUAAUUGUGCCAUUUUCAAAAUCUUUUCUCAAAGUGUUGUUUCUAUUUAAAAUAAUACUUUUCAACUUCCUUAAACAAAUAAUUGGACGGUGUAAACCUAUUGCCUGUAUUGUUCAUAUGUCUGCAACUUCAUCUCUACUGCAUGAUAACAAAGAGGAUGGAGAGCAUAAUUUAUAAGCAGGCGUAAAGUAAAAAUGAUGUUAAAUCUA